UAAGUAAUGUGAAUUGCAGAAUUCCGUGAAUCAUCGAAUCUUUGAACGCACAUUGCGCCCACUAGCACUCUAGUGGGCAUGCCUGUUCGAGCGUCAUUACGACCCUCAGGCCGUUCCCGAAAGGGCAACAGGCCUGGAGUUGGGGCGCUACUGCGUCUCGCAGGCGCUGUAGGUUCCGAAUUUCAGUGGCGGGCUCGUUGGAACCUCAGCGUAGUAGAUCCUAUCGCUCGGGGCGUUCCGGCGGGCGUCCGGCCGUAAAACCCCCAAACCUAACAAGGUUGACCUCGAACCAGGUAGGAAUACCCGCUGAACUUAA
RNAcentral lists this ribosomal RNA (316 nucleotides) under uncultured fungus. RNAcentral describes it as "eukaryotic LSU rRNA". The stretch from base 1 to 96 matches the Rfam family "5.8S ribosomal RNA", at positions 59 to 154 of the family's 154-position model. Lineage: Eukaryota; Fungi. The record is from RNAcentral.